AUCCCAUUUGUGGACAUCUGAUAAAAUGUGAACAAUAUAUAGAAGAUUAGCAUGACCCCUGUGCAAGAAUCAACCGUAUAUCCUAACAGGAAUCGUAAAUUCAU
This is a small nuclear RNA of Medicago truncatula (barrel medic), 104 nucleotides long. The record is from Rfam. NCBI's taxonomy places the organism in Eukaryota, Viridiplantae, Streptophyta, Magnoliopsida, Fabales, Fabaceae.